UAAAAUGAUUUAAAUUUGGAUAAAUUAUUGUAAAAGUAAGUUGAAGAUAAAGUGAUUUAAAUUUGAAUAAAUUAUUGUAAAAGUGAGUUAAAUGAUAAACUUGAUUGUAAAAAUCAUGUUUAACCUUUAAAGUUAUAAAUCAUACCUUCAAAUAAAAUCAAUUCUAUUCGAGAGUAAUCAUACAUGUCAAGAUCAAUUUUAGAUAUCUAAAAGCUAGCAUUUGUCGUUAGUAAAAGGCACUCAG
Molecule: long non-coding RNA, 244 nt
Filed under: Lathyrus oleraceus (garden pea)
Lineage: Eukaryota; Viridiplantae; Streptophyta; Magnoliopsida; Fabales; Fabaceae
Description: Pisum sativum (pea) long non-coding RNA (PSAT_LNC013852)
Source: RNAcentral